This 5945-nucleotide long non-coding RNA is filed under the name Sus scrofa (pig). Its description in RNAcentral is "lncRNA (ENSSSCG00000053873.1)". Lineage: Eukaryota; Metazoa; Chordata; Mammalia; Artiodactyla; Suidae. The record is from RNAcentral.
GAAUUAUUUUUUUCUUUUCUUUGUUUAAAGAUAUUUGAAUUUCCAGUGGUGUAAUUCAGUCAGGGUCCAGGGGCCUAAGAAGGGGAGGGCUGCUGGUGUAAGUGCUGUGGUCUGAAGGCCCCCAAACCAGGAGCUCCAGUGUCCAAGAGCAGGAGAAGCCAGACGCCCCAGCCCCAGGAGAGAGAGGGAGUUCGCCCUUCCUUUGCCUUUUUGCUCCAUAGCGCCCUCAACCGGUUGGACCAUGCCGGCCCACACUGGUGAGGGUGGAUUUUCUUUACUAAUCUCUUCUAGAAACACCCUCACAGACACAUCCAGAAAUACUGUUUUACCAGGAAUCUGGGUGUCCCUCCCCCAGUCAAGGUGACACAUAAAAUUAACAACCAUGAUAUGGCAAAAUAUUACGAGAGUUAUCUCUGGUGGAUGCUUGGGUAAUGGGGAGUCUUUCUUCUACAUGCUUUCCAAUCGAUCCUAGAUUUUACUAUCAUGUAUGACCAGAAUCAUAAAAAUAUUCACGGUUAUAAAGUUGGCUAGCCGAAUGCUGAAUGCCAACUGCCUGCCCAUAUCUUCCAUAAUGUCGCUGACUUUUGAACAACAGGACUGGAAUUAGGAAAGUGGUUCUCUUCCUCUAAACACACACACCAGGAGUUCCCGUCUAAACACACACACCAGGAGUUCCCGUCUUGGCGCAGCAGAAACAAAUCUGGCUAGGAACCAUGGGGUUGUGGGUUCGAUCCCUGGCCCGCUCAGUGGGUUGAGGAUCUGGUGUUGCUGUGGCUGUGAUAUAGGCCGGUAGCUGCAGCUCUGAUUCAACCCCUAGCCUGGGGACAUCCAUGUGCUGCGGGCACGGCCCUAAAAAGACAAUAAAUAAAUAAAUAAACGCACACACCAAAUUAUCAAUUUAAAAAAACUGACAAAUUACCAAAAUGAUCAGAAAAUUAAGAAAAAUACCGUAUUUUUUAUUAAUCACCUUCCUGGUAUACCUCUAUAAUGCUUUUUUCUUACACUUUUAAGCUGUGUGGUUUUUUGUUCUCCUUUUCAUAAGACAAUGAUUCUGUAAUAUCCUCUUUCUAUAGAGAGACUAGAAAGAUAAUUCAGUCUUUCCAUGAGAUGGAUAAAAAUUUGAUUAAAAAAUAUUCAGGUAAUUUCUUUCAGCCUCACAACAAAUUAUUGGUUAAGUCAUGUAAUUAUUUGUUUGUUUUUAAAUGAUUUUUGUUUUUUCCAUUAUAGGUGGUUUACAGUGUUCUGUCAAUGUGCUGCUGUACAGCAAAGUGACCCAGUCACACAUACAUAUAUACAUUCUUUUUUCCACAUUAUCCCCCAUCAUGCUCCAUCACAAGUGACUAGACAUAGUUCCCAAUGCUAUACAGCAGGAUCUCAUUGCUUAUUCACUCCAAAUGCAAUAGUUUGCAUCUAUUAACCCCAGAUUCCCAGUCCAUCCCACUCCUUCCCCCGUGGCAACCACAAGUCUGUUCUCUAAGUCCAUGGGUUUCUUUUCUGUAGAAAGGUUUAUUUGCGUUGUGUGUUAGAGUCCAGAUAUAAGUGACAUCAUAUGGUAUUUGUCUUUCUCUUUCUGACUUACUUCAUUUAGUAUGAGAGUCUCUCGUUCCACCCAUGUUGCUGCAAAUGGCAUUAUUUCGUUCUUGUUUAUGCCUGAGUAGUAUAAGUCAUGUAAUUUUUUAGAAUUGUUGUCAGAUUUGGAAAAACCUCUAAAUUGUUUAAUGUGUGAGUGUAAUAUUCAGGGCAUUUCACGUUUUCUUUUUCCAAUGAUUCAUUUUAAACAUUCUUAGAAUUGAUGACAUUCAUUAACCAAUUUGUUAGCAGUGUCCUCAUUGUACCAGCAUAUUUUCUUUAUCAGCGUCAAUAUUUCAUAUGAGAGCAGCAAGAAUGGUAAAUGUUUUUCCUUUGUUUUUACAUUAUGCAUCCUACCUCAUCACUGGAUCAUCAGACAAUCCAAGGGACUCUUCAUUGAUUCCAUUCGACCUGUACCUUUUCCUCUGAAUGAAUGACUGCUUCUAGUAUCAUCUCACAGGUGUCAUUAUAAUUUGCUUAUUGAUGUCAUAAAAUGUUCUCUUGCUUAUCUUUAUCUCUUUUUUUUUUUGUCUUUUUUUUUCGUCUUUUAGCCAUUUCUUGGGCCGAUCCCUCGGCAUAUGGAGGUUCCCAGGCUAGGGGUCUCAUCGGAGCUGUAGCUGCCACAGCAACGUGGGAUCUGAACUGUGUCUGCGACCUACACCAGAGCUCACGGCAACACCGGAUGGUUAACCCACUGAGCAAGGCCAGGGAUCGAACCUGCAACCUCAUGGAUCCUAGUCAGAUUCAUUAAUCACUGAGCCACAACGGGAACUCCUAUCUUUAUCUCUUUUUUAUGUCACUAAUUUGAUAUAUCUUUUCCUCGCAGUUCUUUAAUACAUAAAUGAAUUGAUUUUCUAUAUUAUUUAUCUCUUUCUAUUGAAAUACAGUUGAUGUGCAAUGUUUUGUGAAUUUUUGCGUAUAACAUAGUGAUUCACCAUUUAAAACAUUAUGAAAUGAUCACUGAGAUAAGUCUAGUAACCAUCCGACACCACACAGCGUCAUGACAGUAUUAUUGAAUGUAUUCCUUAUGCUGUAUGUUACCUUUCUGUAAGUUAUUUAUUUUAUAACUGGAAGUUUGUACCUCUUAUUCCCUUCAUCCAUUUCAUCGAAUCCCUCACCUUAUACUUACAUAAAUGAAUUUAGAGAUAAGAAUGGGGCCCUUCAUAUGUGAAAAAAAUCAGAAGUCUAUACUUUCUUUGGUUGAAAAGAUUCCAGAACAUAUUUCCAAAGAGCAGUUACAAUGUCAUAUUUGUCAGCUUUGUCAAAUAUAUCACUCCCACUGAAAAAGGAAAAAAAAAAAUCCCUUGUGGUACAUUUGCUUGUGUAUAAGCUUUAGGGUCGCUUUCAUUCCUAGCGAGAGAGGAUACUCUUUUGACUAGCCAUAAACAAGAGCUGAAUCUUCCGCUUACCAUUUUACAUGUGUGAUGAUUUGAAGGGUCACAUUUCCUGGGGCUCUCCGUUUCACACUGUGUUUCUCUUCCACCACCGAUGUAAGUUUGGUGCCUGGCGGCAUCGGGAUGUCUGUGUCUCAGUACCAGGUACCUGGUCAGGUAAGUUAGCACAAAGGGCAGGAGGAGUGUUGCUGGGAGCUAUACCGCUAGCAAUAACAGGACUUGACAGGUAUGGCAGGUGUGAAUGCAAGCCGCAUCUGUGUAUCCCCCCCCAUAUAUGUGUAUAUAUCUCUCUCUCUGAUUAAAGCUUUCCCCAAAUGCCCACAGCCACUUCAAUACCACCAGACUUGAGGGAGUUGAAGGGAGGUUGGGGUGAAAAGAGACAGGGGUUGUAACUAUUUGUGGUUGAAGCAAUCCAGUUUUGCAAAUUUUAUUACAACCUAGCACUGUACAAACACAUCGCCCGGGCCCCUUCCGAGCCUUGGAGCCCAUGCAAGUGAGGGGCCUCGACGCUCACACUCAUCGCUUCCUGGCAAAUCGGCCCCAGUGUCCACUGCCCUCAACAUCGGCCGAGCCCUCAACCCCGCUCCCUGGAUUGUUGCCGUCACCUCUUCUUUCUCCCCUACCACGUCCAGUCGGUGCUUAACCCAGUGCCCAAAGUCAUCCUGUAAAAGCUUACAUCAGAUCAUGUCACACCUUUGCUCCAAAGCCUCCAACAUUUUCCCAUCUCAUUUCCAGCAAAAGCCAGAAGUCCAGUGGGCCCUGCGCGACCUGGCCCUUUGCCUUUCUGACCUCACCUCUUGGUAUCCAGCCCUUCCUCACUCCACGCCCAUCCCCUACAGUUUCUGGGAUGGUCAGGCACGUUCCCACGGGGCCCUUGAACUUGCUGUCAUGCUGCCUGGACCACUCCUCCAUCUCCUUCAGGGAAACCUUGCCUGACUUCCCCAUCACCAGUCCCCAUUUCUGGACCCUGCUUAUACAUCUCCAUGGAUGUAUCACCAUCUGAAUCCCAUGUUUUGCUUAUUGUUUGUCCCCCUUCUCCAGAACGUGAGCUCCUCGAGGUGUGAAGCUUUGUUUUGUCCACUGCAGUGUCCAGUGCCUGGAACACUGCUUGACAUUGAUGACUGACUCGUGGUGAACACAAGGGUCUCUGCCUUAAACUUUCCUUUCUUCAGAUGCAUCAGUAGCCCUUGGGACCACAUUCUAAGAAAGAGCAGUAAAAGUGUACUUACUGGAAGUCCAUUUUCGUUAAAAUAGAAGAGCAAAGGUAAAAGAGUGGCAGGGUUCACUAGCAUUUGAGCAACUUGUUUUGAUAAAGAACUGUUUUCUGGUGAAGUGAAUCACCAGAGGAUUUGAUCACUGCGCUCCAAACCACUGGCACCUCCUCCCUUUAUCCCCCCAAAAUGUAAUCCAGAGUCACUGCGGUAGUAAUAGGAAAUUGCCAAAUCAUAUAACAAUUUCUCCAGUUCAAAGGAAAAAAACACAAAUAAAAAGAAAAGGAUGAAGAGGAGACACUUGAAAUGUUUAUUCUUGUUUAUCUUUUCUUCUUUUUCAUUUUCCUUCUGACUUUGAAUAGAAUGAAUCAGAAAAUAUUACAGAAAAGCAAGAAAGGGAGUUCCCGUUGUGGCACAGGGCAAACAACUGACCAGUAUCCAUGAGGUUGCAGGCUCCAUCCCUGGCCCCGCUCAGUGGGUUAAGGAACUGGCACUGCUAUGAGCUGUGGCGUAGGCCAGCAGCUGCAGCUCUGAUUUGACCCCCUAGCCUGGGAAUGUCCAUAUGCCGUGGGUAUAGGGGGAUGGGGUGGGGAAGAAAAGCCAGAAAGCAGAUUGUCGUGAGAGCAUCCCACUUGGUCAGAGUAGUGGUGACAUUCUGGAGUGGCAAAUGAACUUAGAGCCAGGGGAGGCAAGAUUGCUCGUAAAUAUAAAAUGCUGUAAAUUAUCAUCAUAUCAAAACAUUUUCCAAAGAGUUAAAAAAGACAUUUUUACAAAAAGUAAAAAUAGUUAUAAUCCCAACACCAUGACAGAAAAGCCCCACUUCAGUAUAUUCUUUCUCAACUUUUUCUUAUCUAUAUAUACUUUUUCACUGUGGUAAAAAAAUACAGCAUAAAAUUUACCCAUUUUGGUCUUAACCAUUUUCAAGUGUACAGUACAAAAGUGUUAUGCAUACAUUUUUAUUUUCAUGUAUUUCUUGUAUCCUGAUUUUUAACCCUCACAUUAUCUCGUAUCAAAUAAAUCUUUCAUGUGGCAAAUCUGUCUACAUGCUUGUAAUGUGAAAGAAGUGUAAUAUUUUAUUUCAUGGCUCUAACCUUCUUUAUUUAGCUGUUUGUCUUUAAUUGGACAUGUAUGUUGCUUACAAUUUUUUACUCUUAAAAAUAGUAUUAUAAACUUCUGGUUCAUAUAGUAUUUUUCUCUUUAAUAUUUUCAAUGAUCUUCCUAGAAUAAUUUUCUAGAUGUUUUCUAGGAAAAAUUAAGUCAAAAGUGAUGUUUUGCAUGGUUCUUGAAAGUUACAAUAAAAUUGCUUUCCAAGGGCUUGUACCAAUUUAAAAUGAUCCCAGUGGAAUUUGAGAGUACCAAUUUCACCACACUCUCACAACGUUUUCUUUUGUUACAUAUAGUAUGCUAAAAGGUUUCUUAUUUUAACAUGUACUUUUCUUAUAUCUAUUUUCCUUGACUGUUUUCUCUGUUGAAUAAUACCAGUUCAUUUCACUUGCUCGGUUUACAUUUGGGAGGGUGUCUCAAUAUUUCUUUUAUUCCUUUUCACGGGGUGUAUAUAUAAGCGAUUUUAACCCUCUGUCAUAAUUACUGUGAAUAUUUUCCACCAUCUUUUUUUAAAAUUUCUGGUUAUACUAUUAUCUGAAGCAAUUUAACACUGUUAUGUAGUUCAGAUCUUUUCAAUGUGGUUUCUCCUAUCAUCUGUCAUCUCAGAAUAUUCCACUUUGUCUUAUCCUCAGGGACUUUAAUAAAGGAUUUAAUUCUGCUUUAUCUC